CUGAUGCAGCCAUGCCGCGUGUAUGAAGAAGGCCUUCGGGUUGUAAAGUACUUUCAGCGGGGAGGAAGGGAGUAAAGUUAAUACCUUUGCUCAUUGACGUUACCCGCAGAAGAAGCACCGGCUAACUCCGUGCCAGCAGCCGCGGUAAUACGGAGGGUGCAAGCGUUAAUCGGAAUUACUGGGCGUAAAGCGCACGCAGGCGGUUUGUUAAGUCAGAUGUGAAAUCCCCGGGCUCAACCUGGGAACUGCAUCUGAUACUGGCAAGCUUGAGUCUCGUAGAGGGGGGUAGAAUUCCAGGUGUAGCGGUGAAAUGCGUAGAGAUCUGGAGGAAUACCGGUGGCGAAGGCGGCCCCCUGGACGAAGACUGACGCUCAGGUGCGAAAGCGUGGGGAGCAAACAGGAUUAGAUACCC
RNAcentral lists this ribosomal RNA (412 nucleotides) under Enterobacteriaceae bacterium. Its description in RNAcentral is "bacterial SSU rRNA". It matches the Rfam family "Bacterial small subunit ribosomal RNA", at positions 383 to 787 of the family's 1533-position model. The record is from RNAcentral. Lineage: Bacteria; Pseudomonadati; Pseudomonadota; Gammaproteobacteria; Enterobacterales; Enterobacteriaceae.